This 72-nucleotide transfer RNA is filed under the name Dipodomys ordii (Ord's kangaroo rat). It matches the Rfam family "tRNA". From Rfam's summary of the family: Transfer RNA (tRNA) molecules are approximately 80 nucleotides in length. Their secondary structure includes four short double-helical elements and three loops (D, anti-codon, and T loops). The record is from Rfam by way of RNAcentral. Lineage: Eukaryota; Metazoa; Chordata; Mammalia; Rodentia; Heteromyidae.
AUUGUUUUGGCUCAGUGGUAGAGUGCUUGCCUUGCAUGCAUGAGGCCUUGGGUUUGAUUCCUCAGCACCACA